Molecule: ribosomal RNA, 950 nt
Filed under: Curtobacterium flaccumfaciens pv. flaccumfaciens
Lineage: Bacteria; Bacillati; Actinomycetota; Actinomycetes; Micrococcales; Microbacteriaceae
Description: bacterial SSU rRNA
Rfam family: Bacterial small subunit ribosomal RNA
Source: RNAcentral
UGCAAGUCGAACGAUGAUGCCCAGCUUGCUGGGUGGAUUAGUGGCGAACGGGUGAGUAACACGUGAGUAACCUGCCCCUGACUCUGGGAUAAGCGUUGGAAACGACGUCUAAUACUGGAUAUGAUCACUGGCCGCAUGGUCUGGUGGUGGAAAGAUUUUUUGGUUGGGGAUGGACUCGCGGCCUAUCAGCUUGUUGGUGAGGUAAUGGCUCACCAAGGCGACGACGGGUAGCCGGCCUGAGAGGGUGACCGGCCACACUGGGACUGAGACACGGCCCAGACUCCUACGGGAGGCAGCAGUGGGGAAUAUUGCACAAUGGGCGAAAGCCUGAUGCAGCAACGCCGCGUGAGGGAUGACGGCCUUCGGGUUGUAAACCUCUUUUAGUAGGGAAGAAGCGAAAGUGACGGUACCUGCAGAAAAAGCACCGGCUAACUACGUGCCAGCAGCCGCGGUAAUACGUAGGGUGCAAGCGUUGUCCGGAAUUAUUGGGCGUAAAGAGCUCGUAGGCGGUUUGUCGCGUCUGCUGUGAAAUCCCGAGGCUCAACCUCGGGCUUGCAGUGGGUACGGGCAGACUAGAGUGCGGUAGGGGAGAUUGGAAUUCCUGGUGUAGCGGUGGAAUGCGCAGAUAUCAGGAGGAACACCGAUGGCGAAGGCAGAUCUCUGGGCCGUAACUGACGCUGAGGAGCGAAAGCAUGGGGAGCGAACAGGAUUAGAUACCCUGGUAGUCCAUGCCGUAAACGUUGGGCGCUAGAUGUAGGGACCUUUCCACGGUUUCUGUGUCGUAGCUAACGCAUUAAGCGCCCCGCCUGGGGAGUACGGCCGCAAGGCUAAACUCAAAGGAAUUGACGGGGGCCCGCACAGCGGCGGAGCAUGCGGAUUAAUUCGAUGCAACGCGAAGAACCUUACCAAGGCUUGACAUACACGGAAACGGCAGAGAUGGUCGCCCCUUG